Nycticebus coucang (slow loris) is the source of this 137-nucleotide small nuclear RNA. RefSeq annotates it as U4 spliceosomal RNA. The record is from RefSeq and is a predicted model, not a curated record. The transcript has a single exon. Lineage: Eukaryota; Metazoa; Chordata; Mammalia; Primates; Lorisidae.
AGCUCUGUGCAGGCGCAGGAUUGCAGCCAAGGAGGUUUAGCCAAGGUGUGAUUAUUGCUAAUUGAAAACUUUUCCCAAGAAAUCUGAGUUAAUUAUGUUAGAAAGCCUUGCCCAACUUGUAGCUUCUUCUGUGGAAG